UACAUGCUAAAAACCUCGACUUCGGAAGGGGUGUAUUUAUUAGAUAAAAAACCAAUGCCCUUCGGGGCUCCUUGGUGAUUCAUAAUAACUUAACGAAUCGCAUGGCCUUGCGCCGGCGAUGGUUCAUUCAAAUUUCUGCCCUAUCAACUUUCGAUGGUAGGAUAGUGGCCUACCAUGGUUUCAACGGGUAACGGGGUAUUAGGGUACUAUACCGGAGAGGGAGCCUGAGAAACGGCUACCACAUCCAAGGAAGGCAGCAGGCGCGCAAAUUACCCAAUCCCGACACGGGGAGGUAGUGACAAUAAAUACUGAUACAGGGCUCUUUUGGGUCUUGUAAUUGGAAUGAGUACAAUUUAAAUCCCUUAACGAGGAACAAUUGGAGGGCAAGUCUGGUGAAUCUCAGCUCUGCUGACGCCAGUGAGAGUGCUAAGCUAGUCCUACGGGGCGACACACCCAAUGUGCGGGGACGCCAUUCCAGGCAAUCCGCAGCUGACGGAAGGGCACCACCAGGAGUCAAGGUUUAGCUCCUAACAGUAGGCCUCUGGCCUGCUAGUCUCCCUGCGAGGCGACACGCUCAAUGUGCGGGAAGGCCCUUCACUGGGAAAUCCGCAGCCCACCUCUCUUACCCGGAGGUCGGUUCAGAGGCUCGAUGAGUGUGGGCUCAGCAUCCGCUGAGCUUAAGAUAGAGUCCGUCCCUGCUGGCAACGGCGGGGAGGUAACGGGAGCCUGCGGCUUAAUUUGACUCAACACGGGGAAACUCACCAGGUCCAGACACAAUAAGGAUUGACAGAUUGAGAGCUCUUUCUUGAUUUUGUGGGUGGUAAACGCCAUGUAUUGCCACCGAGAGCUGCGUGCAGCUAGUGGGCUCCGGCCUGCGAGACUUCCAAACUGCUGGAAAACGUCAGGAAACUGGCAAUCAGCAGCGCCCGCGUCAGGGUGUUCACAGACUAGAUAGAAGUCGAUCGCCCUCUGUGGCGGUUUGAGAUAUAGCCGAGCGUCCCCUAGCGAUGGGGGACAGACAUGCUGGGUGCA
This 1032-nucleotide ribosomal RNA is filed under the name fungal sp. RNAcentral describes it as "partial 18S ribosomal RNA". It matches the Rfam family "Eukaryotic small subunit ribosomal RNA", at positions 168 to 1432 of the family's 1831-position model. The record is from RNAcentral. Lineage: Eukaryota; Fungi.